GACGAACGCUGGCGGCGUGCUUAACACAUGCAAGUCGAGCGGUAAGGCCCUUUCGGGGGUACACGAGCGGCGAACGGGUGAGUAACACGUGGGUGACCUGCCCUUAGCUCUGGGAUAAGCCUGGGAAACUGGGUCUAAUACCGGAUAUGACUCCAUGACGCAUGUUGUGGGGUGGAAAGCCUUGUGCGGCUAGGGAUGGGCCCGCGGCCUAUCAGCUUGUUGGUGGGGUGAUGGCCUACCAAGGCGACGACGGGUAGCCGGCCUGAGAGGGCGACCGGCCACACUGGGACUGAGACACGGCCCAGACUCCUACGGGAGGCAGCAGUGGGGAAUCUUGCGCAAUGGGCGAAAGCCUGACCCAGCAACGCCGCGUGAAGGAUGAAAUCCCUCGGGAUGUAAACUUCGCAAGAACGGGAAGAAUAAGUAGGGGACAAUACCCCCUAUGAUGACGGUACCGUUUGUAAGCUCCGGCUAACUCCGUGCCAGCAGCCGCUGUAAG
RNAcentral lists this ribosomal RNA (499 nucleotides) under uncultured bacterium. RNAcentral's name for it is "bacterial SSU rRNA". It matches the Rfam family "Bacterial small subunit ribosomal RNA", at positions 28 to 524 of the family's 1533-position model. The record is from RNAcentral.